This 1275-nucleotide ribosomal RNA is filed under the name Amanita fulva. RNAcentral describes it as "partial 28S ribosomal RNA". It matches the Rfam family "Eukaryotic large subunit ribosomal RNA", at positions 68 to 1312 of the family's 3401-position model. Lineage: Eukaryota; Fungi; Basidiomycota; Agaricomycetes; Agaricales; Amanitaceae. The record is from RNAcentral.
ACAAGGAUUCCCCUAGUAACUGCGAGUGAAGCGGGAAAAGCUCAAAUUUGAAAUCUGGCAGUCUAUUUUUUCUUCUUUGGCUGUCCGAGUUGUAAUCUAGAGAAGUGCUUACCUGCACUGGACCAUGUAUAAGUCUCCUGGAAUGGAGCGUCACAGAGGGUGAGAAUCCCGUCUUUGACAUGGACUGCCAGUGUGUUGUGGUGUGCUCUCAAAGAGUCGAGUUGUUUGGGAAUGCAGCUCUAAAUGGGUGGUAAACUCCAUCUAAAGCUAAAUAUUGGCGAGAGACCGAUAGCGAACAAGUACCGUGAGGGAAAGAUGAAAAGGACUUUGGAAAGAGAGUUAAACAGUAUGUGAAAUUGUUGAAAGGGAAACGCUUGAAGUCAGUUAUGUUGGCUAGGGAUCAACCUAGCUGUCUUUUGCUGGGUGAAUUUCCUAGUCUGACAGGCCAACAUCAGUCUUGACUGCUGGAAAAGAGCAGAGGGAAUGUGGCACCUUCGGGUGUGUUAUAGCCCUUUGUCAUAUGUGGCGGUUGGGACUGAGGGAUGCAGCGUGCCGCGAGGCUGGGUUUCGACCACGUUCACGCUUAGGAUGUUGGCUUUUAAUGGCUUCAAUCGACCCGUCUUGAAACACGGACCAAGGAGUCUAACAUGCCUGCAAGUGUUUGGGUGGAAAACCCUUGCGCACAAUGAAAGUGAAAGUUGAGAUCCCUGUCAUGGGGAGCAUCGACGCCCGGACUUGAGCUUUUAGCGACGGAUCCGCGGUAGAGCAUGCAUGUUGGGACCCGAAAGAUGGUGAACUAUGCCUGAAUAGGGCAAAGCCAGAGGAAACUCUGGUGGAGGCUCGUAGCGAUUCUGACGUGCAAAUCGAUCGUCAAAUUUGGGUAUAGGGGCGAAAGACUAAUCGAACCAUCUAGUAGCUGGUUCCUGCCGAAGUUUCCCUCAGGAUAGCAGAAGCUCAUUAUCAGAUUUAUGUGGUAAAGCGAAUGAUUAGAGGCCUUGGGGUUGAAACAACCUUAACCUAUUCUCAAACUUUAAAUAUGUAAGAACGAGUUGUCACUUGAUUGGACUGCUCGGUGAUUGAGAGCUUCUAGUGGGCCAUUUUUGGUAAGCAGAACUGGCGAUGCGGGAUGAACCGAUCGCAAGGUUAAGGUGCCAGAGUUCACGCUCAUCAGACACCACAAAAGGUGUUAGUUCAUCUAGACAGCAGGACGGUGGCCAUGGAAGUCGGAACCCGCUAAGGAGUGUGUAACAACUCACCUGCCGAAUGAACUAGCCC